Molecule: long non-coding RNA, 3390 nt
Organism: Lytechinus variegatus (green sea urchin)
Lineage: Eukaryota; Metazoa; Echinodermata; Echinoidea; Temnopleuroida; Toxopneustidae
Exons: 3
Source: RefSeq, a predicted model, not a curated record
GAAACAUAAUUAUGUAGCCUGGAAUAACAUUGAAGCGACUGGGGCAAAUUAUAGUGUAAAUCCAUAGACAAUGCAUCGAAUGUGCAAGCACCCACAAUAGGUUCUUGGUAAAGGCACUGAGGCGAUCAAGCACACAAUGGCGGGAAAUAUCGAAUAGCUGCAUGGUUGGCAGGUGAGAGGGAAUGUAUUUUACCAACAGGCAUGACAGGAAUGCAUCUCCACUGUCUAUGGACAACAAAAUGGCGUCAAUGAUGAGAGAAUAUGUCCGACCCGCACAAUUAAAACAGCCAGCGAGCGGACAACGAAUUUUUCUUGUGGUUCUUAAUUUGUAUGAGAGGAAAUGAUGGAAACUUCUGGAAGUGAUUUUGAGGCAUUAGUUUGGUGAUAACUAGUGCCCAGGUUCUGAUGAUAACCCCAAGUACCAAUCCAGCCUUCGACAUCAAAAUAUUUGGAAUGAAGUACUAGUAUGCUCAUCGGAAGGAAUUCGAAAAUGGUGCCCUAGAAUCUGGUGUCGACCCCAAAGUACCGAUCCAGACUUCGACGUCACUACAAUGUUAAUGAAUGAACGGAUGUUGACAACGACGACGACGAUGGCUAUUGAACUCUUCCACACCAAGGCGGCCUGGUUAGCGAUGGAAGCGGGGUGGUGGAUACAUUGAUGACUACGGGAGGACUUGUCUCAUCACUAAAACUAAGAAAUUUCAGAUUGUCGUAACAUUUAAAUCCAACAUCCAGUUUUGAUAUCUUUAGUCUUGAGUUAGGCUUGUUUGCAAGCAGCUUUUCUCAAGUUAUUAAAUUCAACUCGGUAAUGGGCGUACUAUAUAAAUACAUGUAUAAGCUUUCAAUGAGCUGGGCUUGAAAAUCAUUGACAUUCCGGGUAGUCAAUAGAUAUUUUGAUGGGUGAGCUGGGGGUAUGCUUACAUUUAAAAAAAAAAUUUUAACAUGAACAACCUUCAUAACGUAAUAAAUAAAAUAAAAUUAAGUACCGUCUGAUCUAGUAUCGACUCAUUGUAGAUUGUGUCGAUUAGCCCACAAAGUUUUCGAUGAUGCCGACAAUACAAUGGGUGAUUUCAAGUUCGGUGUCGGUGUUGGUGUGAUUGUUGGAGGCACAUUUUGGAUUGUGUCUCCGAGCUCCCAAACCUAUUCUGAGUUUAAAACAAAUAAUCCAGAUUACGAUAUUGACAGCUCAACAUAUAGUGAGAGACUUUUCAGGACCAUCUUCAUUCUAUGGUCAACAGUGAAAGUUCAUUGCAGUUCUAUACCAACAUUAAUCAUGCCAAUUCAUUGAUCUUAACCGAGUGCCCUUUUUAUCCCCGAUAUAAAUAUCCUUAUUUGAUUCAAUCUACAAUGAUGAAAUUGAUUACAAGAAAACAAUAAUAUUACCAAUGAUUAUAAAGUAUUGGACUCGGAUUGUCUUCUAUGAUCAUGAUACAUGUAUAAGACGCAUAGUUAUAAAGUAGGCUUAAGCUUUAUCUGUUCUUUUUCUAAUUUUCCCUUAUUUGACCCAAGAGUGUAAACGCAAAUUAAAGGACCCAAGCGUCAGUGCCAAAUGCAGGAUUUUGAUUGGAUGAAAAUAGAAUGAUGAAUGAUUUGUUUUAGUUAUGUUUGAUGGUACCUCUUUCUGGAAGGGACCCCUGAUUAGGAUCUUGCUGAAAUUGUGCAAAACAAAACAAAAAACGGACAUUUAUGAAACUAUCAAAGAUCAAGGCCCAGUCUUACAGAGAGUUACAGUUGAUUCGAUCAAUUUCAAGUAUGUGGAAAUCCAUCAAUGUCAUAAUUUUUCUUUAGGAAAUUUGCUCAAUGUCCUUUGAAAAGUAAUAGAAGCAUACUAAAUUGUCAAGAAAAAAAGUGAAUGUAUGAAUAUACGUCAUUUCUAGAAAAUAUUUUGAACAAACAACAUGUAUUUUAGAUGUUGACGUUGCUGGCUUUCCAUAGUUGCGAUUGAUCCGAUCAAUCGCAAAUAUUUGAUAGACGGGCCCCAGAUCCACUGAGGGGUAGAAACGAGGUGUUAUGAUGAGAAGAGGAUGCAAUAGGAUCUAAAUAAGUCUCAAAUUGGUAACACAGAAUUUAAGGACCCAUACACCCCUCUUUUGGUGCUCUUCUCCCCCAUUUUUAUCCUUAUUUUUACUACUACUUGAUGAACCGGGGGGGGGAUGAUUGCCCCUGCCCCCACUGAACAAAAAUAAAAUUCCCUUAGAUUCUCAUACACCUUGGCAAUUUACUUCUCCGAGCCGAACGUCAAAUUCCGAUUGAGGUUGCUUUUACGGUAAUUUCUAUCAAAACAAAAGAUAAUGUAUGCAUUGGCAUCAUGCAACGCACAAGGCUCGAUGCAUAACAACUUGAAAAUGUUUUUAUUCUUCUAUUUCAGCCCGUGCAUUUAUGGCCACCUUAGGUUAUAUUGAUUUGGAGUCGAAAUCGCUUUUCUCACUGUUUAUUAAUCGACAAUUUUUAUUAUAAAAGCAAGUCAUUUUUUGUGUUCAGAAUGUUAGUAGAUUUCACCAAUUUUGCCUUUGUUUUACGAUGUAUUUUGAAGUCCAGUCAAAAUAAGCCAUAAAAAAUAAAAUGCUGUUUUACUUGGACCAUUCGCUGAUAAGCUAAUGAUCAUUGGUCGUCCGUUUGAAUGAUCCAUGAACAUUUUCAUGAAACAGAUAAUCAGUGAUUUUCACUGACAAUUGUAAUAAGCCACUGAAAUCCUUGCAUCUGAUUGGCUCAGAGCAAUUUUUGGAUGAAAAUUGUUGACAAGAUGCUUUAUGAAACACUCCCCAGACCAUAAUAUUUCAAAACCUCAAUAUUAGUGUGAAUUUAAAGGUCGUCCACCCAACAAAAAAAUUGAUUUGAACUGCAUGAAUUAUACAAUAUUUCAAUAAUUAUUUUCCUAUUUAACAAUAGAGAAGCUCUUCAUCAAAUUACUACCGCAAUAGCAAUUACACAUGCUUCGAGAUGAAGCAAACUAUUUCACAAUUAUUAUAUGAAGAAAAAGCAAGAUAUUCCAUAUAUAAAAUAUAUGUCAUAUCAUUGCCAACCUCAUUUGCAUACUGACAAGGAUGUGCACAUAACUGUUUUUUUUCAAUAAACAGAACUUCAAAAUUUUAUGAUUAAUUCCUUCUUUUGUAACCGUUUUUUUAAAUGAAAUUUCCAAUGUUAUGCUCCUUUGAUUAUUUUCAUUCAAUUCAAACCAAUGUUUUAUUGGAAUGGACUUUUCCUUUAAGAGUCACAUAGAUCUUAUAAAGAUAUUUUACAAUUAUGCACUGCAAAAUAGCAUUCAUAAAUUGUUUUGAGUAUUCGGGUGCUUCAUUUAUCACAUUAUAGCUGGGGGCCGUUUCAUAAAUCUGUUCCUAAAUCGGGAAUUUUGACUGGACUUUUUUGUUAUUAAAUGACUUUGUCUGAUUU